Procavia capensis (Cape rock hyrax) is the source of this 147-nucleotide non-coding RNA. The record is from Rfam. Lineage: Eukaryota; Metazoa; Chordata; Mammalia; Hyracoidea; Procaviidae.
CUUCCUAGAUUCCUCCCAAGGAUGUCCAUGGCAAUGGUAAUUCAUUCUGACUCUCUGGUGAACCCACUGGUCAGAGAGUCUCAGUGUAACCGACAGGCGGGUCUUAAGGCUAGGCUUGACAAAUGACAAGAUUUCUGCAUUUUCAAA